GAUGAACGCUGGCGGCGUGCCUAAUACAUGCAAGUCGAACGCUGGAAAUCUAGCUUGCUAGAUUGAAGGAGUGGCGGACGGGUGAGUAAUACAUAAGCAACCUACCCACGAAGACUGGGAUAAUCUCUGGAAACGGGGACUAAUACCGGAUAGGUAAUCGGAAGGCAUCUUCUGAUUAUUAAAGGUUAAAAACACUGGUGGAUGGGCUUAUGGCGCAUUAGUUAGUUGGUGAGGUAACGGCCCACCAAGACGAUGAUGCGUAGCCGGCCUGAGAGGGUGAACGGCCACAUUGGGACUGAGACACGGCCCAGACUCCUACGGGAGGCAGCAGUAGGGAAUUUUCGGCAAUGGGGGAAACCCUGACCGAGCAACGCCGCGUGAGUGAUGACGGCCUUCGGGUUGUAAAGCUCUGUUGUAAGGGAAGAACGGUAGAUAGAGAAUAUCUAAAUGACGGUACCUUACCAGAAAGCCACGGCUAACUACGUG
Molecule: ribosomal RNA, 486 nt
Filed under: uncultured bacterium
Lineage: Bacteria
Description: partial 16S ribosomal RNA
Rfam family: Bacterial small subunit ribosomal RNA
Source: RNAcentral